This 1954-nucleotide ribosomal RNA is filed under the name Clostridioides difficile. RNAcentral's name for it is "bacterial LSU rRNA". It matches the Rfam family "Bacterial large subunit ribosomal RNA", at positions 882 to 2856 of the family's 2925-position model. The record is from RNAcentral. Lineage: Bacteria; Bacillati; Bacillota; Clostridia; Peptostreptococcales; Peptostreptococcaceae.
UCAAGGUGAGAGAUACGGAGGUAGAGCACUGAAUGUCCUAGGGGGUAUUGCACCUACCGAAGACUAUCAAACUCCGAAUGCCGUCAUCUUAUACUUGGGAGUCAGACUGUGGGUGAUAAGAUUCAUAGUCGAAAGGGCAACAGCCCAGAUCGUCAGCUAAGGUCCCUAAAUGUAAGUUAAGUGGUAAAGGAUGUGGGAUUGCACAGACAACCAGGAUGUUGGCUUAGAAGCAGCCACUCAUUCAAAGAGUGCGUAAUAGCUCACUGGUCGAGUGAUCCUGCGCCGAAGAUUUCCGGGGCUAAAACUUACUACCGAAGCUACGGCAUCAGUAAUGAUGGGUAGGGGAGCUUCCCAUACGGGUUGAAGCAUGACCGUAAGGACAUGUGGACAGUAUGGGAGUGAGAAUGUUGGCAUGAGUAGCGAGAUGUGGGUGGGAAUCCCACAGGCCGUAAACCCAAGGUUUCCAGGGGAAGGUUCGUCCGCCCUGGGUUAGUCGGGACCUAAGCUGAGGCCGAAAGGCGUAGGUGAUGGACAACAGGUUGAUAUUCCUGUACUACCGAUAACCGUUUGAGAGAAGGGAUGACACAGUAGGAUAAGCUAAGCACACUGUUGGUUAUGUGUGCCCAAGCAUUGAGGCAGUCAAAGUAGGCAAAUCCGCUUUGAUAAUGCUGGGAUGUGAUGGGGAGCGAAAUUUAGUAGCGAAGUAGCUGAUUUCACACUGUCAAGAAAAGUCUCUAUCGAGGUUAAAGGUACCCGUACCGCAAACCGACACAGGUGGGUGAGGAGAGUAUCCUAAGGCCAGCGAGAGAACUGUUGUUAAGGAACUCGGCAAAAUGACCCCGUAACUUAGGGAUAAGGGGUGCCACCAUCAGGUGGCCGCAGAGAAUAGGCCCAAGCGACUGUUUACCAAAAACAUAGGUUUCUGCUAAGUCGCAAGACGAUGUAUAGGAGCUGACGCCUGCCCGGUGCUGGAAGGUUAAGGGGAUCUGUUAGAGCAAUCGAAGCAGUGAACUUAAGCCCCAGUAAACGGCGGCCGUAACUAUAACGGUCCUAAGGUAGCGAAAUUCCUUGUCGGGUAAGUUCCGACCCGCACGAAAGGCGUAACGAUUUGGGCACUGUCUCAACAACAGACUCGGUGAAAUUGUAAUUCCGGUGAAGAUGCCGGAUACCUGCGACAGGACGGAAAGACCCCAUGGAGCUUUACUGUAGCUUGACAUUGGGUCUUGGUACUACAUGUACAGGAUAGGUGGGAGGCUUUGAAACCAGGACGCCAGUUUUGGCGGAGCCAUCCUUGGGAUACCACCCUUGUAGUACUGGGACUCUAACCAUAGGCCAUGAAUCUGGUCUUGGGACACUGUCAGGUGGGCAGUUUGACUGGGGCGGUCGCCUCCCAAAAGGUAACGGAGGCGCUCAAAGGUUCUCUCAGUACGGUCGGAAAUCGUACGUAGAGUGUAAAGGCAAAAGAGAGCUUGAUUGCAAGACAUACAGGUCGAGCAAGGAUGAAAAUCGGACUUAGUGAUCCGGUGGUUCUGCGUGGAAGGGCCAUCGCUCAACGGAUAAAAGCUACCCUGGGGAUAACAGGCUUAUCUCCCCCAAGAGUCCACAUCGACGGGGAGGUUUGGCACCUCGAUGUCGGCUCAUCACAUCCUGGGGCUGUAGUAGGUCCCAAGGGUUGGGCUGUUCGCCCAUUAAAGUGGUACGCGAGCUGGGUUCAGAACGUCGUGAGACAGUUCGGUCCCUAUCCGUCGCAGGCGUAGGAAAUUUGAGAAGACCUGUCCUUAGUACGAGAGGACCGGGAUGGACGUACCUCUGGUGUACCAGUUGUCCUGCCAAGGGCAUGGCUGGGUAGCUAUGUACGGAAUGGAUAAGCGCUGAAAGCAUCUAAGCGCGAAGCCAACUUCAAGAUAAGAUUUCCCACCGCAAGGGUAAGACCCCAGAAAGACUAUCUGGUUGA